Cygnus olor (mute swan) is the source of this 4652-nucleotide long non-coding RNA. RefSeq lists it as uncharacterized. The transcript has 3 exons. The record is from RefSeq and is a predicted model, not a curated record. Lineage: Eukaryota; Metazoa; Chordata; Aves; Anseriformes; Anatidae.
CUUAGAGGGAGAGUUGAUUUGAUGUUAGUGUGGUGAUAGUGAUGUGCUUUCUCUAGUUUUCCUUACUGGCUUUUAAAUCCAUUGCCUUUCUCAGCCAGGCUUUUCCAGGUUACUCCAUCUUCCUACAGAAUCCUGCAUAAGAUAUGUGAGGCUCUGCCUGCUGGAGUGACCACUGUCCUACAGGAGGGAAAAACUUUUGCAUCUGUUUCUACACUGCUGCCGGUAGGAGCAGUGGUAUGCUCUAUCAGGUGUUUAAUGACUUGGAGGACACGUGAAAUACAUGCAUGUGUGACUUAAAGCCUGAGUGUGGAGUGCAGAAGGAGGCACUGGGGCUCAGCAGCACCCAUCUGUGGCACCCACCGGAGCCAAGAGUCUCAGGGCUCCCAGAGAUGUAAAAUGAACCGGGAUAAGCGGGAAGUCAUGCUGUUACCUUGAUUCUCUGUAUACGAGUAGGUCCUACAACAGAGGAUUGUAUGGACAAACAAAUCUCCACUGAGAAUGAUAUAUGACCGUGGCAAGGUCUUUCUGCUACUCAGCAAGUGAGGAGAGGACAAUGGUAGCUGGCAGCUACUGUUCAGGCUGACGUACUUGACUUAGAUUAGCACUGGGGUAAGAGCAUGCAUUCUGCCAAUUACUAAAGCUCAGCUAACUUGCAGCAAUUUGUGAAGGGGCAGUAACUCAACUGCUUGCAUUGUCUGCUCAGAUGACAGGCUAGCAAAAUGCUCUAAGGCAGUGGCUUCCAACUCUUCAGUACUGUCAGCUCUUGGUGUGUCUCAGAAAACAGCACUUAUUUUUUAUCUUAAGUCUAACAGUUUUGAAUUUUAAAAUGGAGGGGUUUGCCGGUUACUUUCAAAGGUAUCGGAUGGGCAUGACAAAUGGAGGAGCUGCUGCCCCCCAGCAAAUGGUACUGCUGGUGGUUGAAGUGAAAACAGGAACCAAACUGCUCAGCCCUCUCUGGUUUCUGCAAACUCUUCUGUGACCUUUUUUAAGUUACAUAGUGCUGUAAGGCCCCUAUUUUUUCCAAUGAUUUUAGAGGUGUGAGGCAUUGUUCUGAGCAGACAUAAAAGAAACUGGCCUUUGAAGUCCUCCAUCACGGUGAUGAUGUUGUGCACCACAAACUUCCUAUCAGUGCCUUCCAAAGGGUCCUCCUGUGUUAGUUUGGCAGUAACACCUCGAGCCCAGAGCAGGUCCCUUGCUGGACUGGGGUGCAGCAGCUUGGAGUCAGCCCAAGAAAACAGGGGCUUGUCAGCAAAACACAACAAGUUCAUAGCUUCCACGGGGAAUCCGCAUCCGCCACCAACCCUGUGCCUUCAGACCCCUGCCACCUGUUUGUACACCCACAGCUCUUCACCACCCAGCCUGUGAGCCCAGGAGAGGCAGAGGAGCACCAGUGGCAGGACCGAGUGUUUUGCCACGCAGUCGGUGUCAGACAUGGAGCUCCUGGUGCCACAUCAGCCCCUGCAACCUUCCCUGGCCUGUGAGUGACCCAAAUGGGGCGUAAUGACUUCAAGGUGGCAGUGAAAGGCUGAUCCGCGCCCUUACGGUUGGAGGCUUUAAUUUGAUCCCAUUGUGCAUGAAGUGAUGACUCCUGAAAACAACAGUGGCAGCACAAUUAUUUAUGUCCAUCUGUCAGAAGAGUAGAUCAAAGCUAUCUACAGAGCUGCAGACAAAUAUCACCACGGAUGACCCAGAGGCUUCCUUUGUGUGAGGUGACAGACUGGAGCGUGACUUCAUUGGGAAAUCAGUCUUAGAUCCACACAGCAAAGUCAUCCCAGCUAAUGCUGACCCAGAGCUUUUCUUUGCACUCGCUCACAGCUGAGUAGCGACAGGGGUUAGAGACGAUGACGCCAACUUUCCCUGUUUUUGUUUUUCUGGUAAGAGACCUUGUUCAGCACAACAAUAUCGCUUGUGCUCAUCAUUACGUGUGCAAUCUUAAGAUGAUAUCUCAGCAAGUUCAGACGCGAUGGAGACCUUUGAGCUGCGUGGCGUGUUGCAGCCUGGCACUGUGCAGCGAGGCUGUAAGGGAUCAUCUGGGAACCUCACUGUGUGAAGAGUAAGGGGAGCAGCAAUUGCUUUGUGCCCAGCUUAGAGCCAGGCAUGACCAGGUUCCUGCCUCUCAGGUGUCUCAAAGCACAUCCUCACCAAAAUGCUGACACCACUAACUGCCAGCAUCUUCUCAGUAAGGAAGAGCCAAGGAAAUUGAAGAGGAUAGAGGGCAAAUCAACAGAAGAAGAACUUGAAGGUCACUUUUCCUCCUUGCCUUUGCUAGGGUUCUGUGCACACAUACCAUCUGCAAGUCAGGCAAUGAAAAGGUGACUGAUCAUUGGAGUAUCUCUUCCACGUGCUUGGAAAGGUUCCUGUAACUCUCUGAAAAUGAGUGAUGCAGUCACCCCUACAGCCCAAUUUUAUACAUUCAUUAAAUAUCAACAGAGAUGGAUCUGGGCCCUCUGCACUACCCAAAAGCCCAUUCACUCUUUAUAGGUCUUUGUGUACAGGUUAUUCAUGCUUCUAUAAAAUGGAUGAUAUACCAGCCAAAAGUUGAAAGUGUUGAACGUGAUGUGAUGAUCUUUCAUGAUGCUUGGUUCUUCAAAACACAGCCCCAGUGCCCUGCAAGGGAAAGAACGUCCCCAUCUGCAUGUACCAAAAAAUUAAAGAAAAAUUCCAGCUCUCAUUGCUGGAGAGAGGCAAAGAAAAAUGGAGCUUGUGAACUUGAAAGCCUCAGAAACAAGAAUCAAAUCCACCAAACAAGAAGCCUCCCAAGUGAAAACAAGAUCUUGUGCAUGUGAGCAAGCAUCAUGUUUUGGGGCAUGAAUCACAAGAUUUUCUUUUUUUUCCUCUUUUGGCAGGUGUAUAUAAUUACAGUCCCAGGAUCUGUUGAAGUAUUUAGUGAUUUUGGCUCAACUUCAGAUGCCAUGACUUGUGUUAGCCAGUAGGUGUUCUGUGCAUCCUGGAAGAUCAGUGCCUCAAGCUGCAAAUUCAUUCAUGACUUUCUUGAGGAAGUUGACCAGAGAAAAUGUAGAACACAAAAACAAUUAAACUACAUGGGGCAACUCUGUCUUUAAUUUUACCCUUACAAGCAUAAAUGACUGCAAUCUGAGCUGGAACUUGUUGUCUUAUGUCUUUAGUUCAUUGAGUGCAUAAAUAUACACCAUGAGCACUAUUUUUCUGACUGAGCCCUUGAAAUGUGCCAGGGAGCACCAGUAUCUGUGUGCAGCCCUUUGUCUAGUGCCUGGAACCUCAGACCAUAGUCAACAUAACAUCUGAGUGCCUAUGAAGAGAACCAUCUUCUGCCACGUGGUUUCUUCUCCUUGUAUCUUGUGGCUGCGUUGCUGCUUCAGUUGUUAUAUCACGCAAAAUAGACAAGGAAACUUUAAUGCUGAUGUUUGUGUAAGCCCAAUAUUACCAAUGCUAUGCAUACUUGUUUAAAAACCACUGUGUCUAAGAAUUGUCUUUAUGUUCCCCUUGGGCUGAGCUGUGAAGGUGAGACUAUUAACCAAAGGCAUUUGUCAUCAAAGGGCGCUCUGGAGCCAACAGAAUGCAAUGAUUUUCACGAAAAAGCUUUAUUGUCAUUUGUUUGGUUUGCAAGCAGCCAAACCAGCAGCUAUGGAGAUCAUCCCAAGCCUCGCUUACGCUCUUCAGCUCAUCUCAGGGCUUUGUGGGACCCAGAAAUAAAAGCAGGAAGGGUGCUGUGGUUUUGCUGGCUCUAAGUAGCACUUGUCCUGAGGCUGCAUGAGCUCUACCCAUGGGCAGUUGUGCACCCAGGAGAGACACAUCAUGUCUCUAGCAGCCACCCCCUGCACCACCACCCCAUGUUACCCUCCCGCACGGUGAUGCUUCCCACCCCAAGCAGGCACUGCCUGCUUCCCCAGCACCCCAGUGGCACCAGUCGCACCCUCCUGGCUUGAUUCUGUCAGCACAUUCCUGGUCACCUGCCCAGCCAGGAGCGUGUUGCCUGCCCCAAAAGCCAGCUUGCAUCACCCCACGCCAGCAGUGGCGUGGAGAGGCUCUCAGCAAGGUGAAGGGGAGGAUGAGGAUGCCCGCCGACCUUGUAUACACACAGCUGAAGCAAUGGGGAGGUCUCUGAGGAAAGGAAACCUCCAUGGGGCAUCAGACCCAUGAUAGGUAGACCCAGGGAUAGAUAGACCCAGGGCUGGGUACAGCUGCUAUGAGCUGUGACACGAGGCUUGGGGCCUGGGCAGGGAGAAGGGGCUGCCCCUGUUAGCCCCAAUCUCUGCCACUACCCGCUGAUGUGAGCCCCUCCGUUGCCUCUGACAGGGCCCCACGUGUCCUUUCCCCCAAGCUGGCAGUGAAUGCUCAGCUGUUUGGGGACAUCUUGCCACAUCCAUGGGACAUCAGCAUUGUGGCACUGAUCUGGAUGGAGGGCCUGGUGGGGUGGCCACUCCCUGGGGUUGCUGCUGUUGUGGCAAAGUGACGCUUGCUCCCCCUGCACCUCCUGCAUGCCCUGGUCUGCACACGCAUGUGUGCACACCCAUGUGCAUGGACACGUGUACGUGCACACACAUGCACUGCUGCCCCUGCUGAAGCCAUUGGUGUGGUUGCUGUCACAGACCACGUUUAAUUAUGCUGCGGAGCUUGUUACCACAGGAAGCAGCCGAGGCCAAGAAUUAAGUAAGACUUGAGGAAGGGAUUGG